Long non-coding RNA from Cydia pomonella (codling moth), 1183 nucleotides. RefSeq lists it as uncharacterized. The transcript is spliced from 3 exons. The record is from RefSeq and is a predicted model, not a curated record. NCBI's taxonomy places the organism in Eukaryota, Metazoa, Arthropoda, Insecta, Lepidoptera, Tortricidae.
UAAAUAAAUAUACGACAUUAUUACACAAAUUGACUAAGUCCCACAGUAAGUUCAAUAAGACUUGUGUUGAGGGUACUUAGACAACGAUAUAUAUAAUAUAAUAUAUAAAUAUUUAUAAAUACUUAAAUACAUAGAAAACACCCAUGACUCAGGAACAAAUAUCCAUGCUCAUCACACGAAUAAAUGCCCUUACCAGGAUUUGAACCCGGGACCAUCGGCUUCAUAGGCAGGGUCACUACUCCACCGUGCGCAAGAGAGUUUUGCGUUUUGAAUUAAGAUAUCUUUUUUAUCUGUGUAUUAUGGUACCAUCGGGCUGAUCUGAUGAUGAAGACAGGAGGUGGUCAUAGGAACUCUGUGAUAAAACAACGCAAUCUAAUAGUGUUUGGGGUUGUUAGAAUUAUCUUCCUGAUUAUUAGUUGCCUGUGGAAAAAAAUACAGUCAGCAUCAAAAGUAGCGGAUCAAACAAGGUUUCAAAAGUAUCUACCAUUCUGUAACAGCUUAACAAAAUGUUAUGGUUUUAUAUGUAGAACAAUUAAGACGGUAAAAGAUAUACUUUUGAAUGUAAAUUUUAGAGAUUAAUCUAUAUUUGGAAAAGUUUUCCAGAAUAUCAGAUACUUUUGGCGCGUUGUUUCAUCCGCUACUAUUGAUGCUGACUGUACUAAAAGUGAAAUUUUUGUCAAAACUUAUUUUCUUCCCAAAUGUGAUGAUAAAUAUUCUGUAACACGGGAGGUACUUAAAAUAUAAAUUGGACACUCGAGACAUAAAUGAACACCAUCAGGUGUCUAUUUAAAUAGGUUAUCUAUGAACUCUCGUUUAUCAUUUUCCUUAUGCACUAAUUAUUUUCCUGUAUAUUUUAAGACAACACCCGAAGGUUUAAAGUUGAUUUUGGACUAUUGCCGCAAAAGCACAACAAACGAGACUUGUGCCAUGCUUUGUUACUACGAGACAAUUGGAAUUAUAGAUGAGGACGGUUGGUACGUGGAGAGUAAACUGACAGGAUUUAUAAAGAUUGCCAUAUUACCUAGACUACCUACAAGAUUAUACGAACUAGAAACUCUAUUCCACCAACUCGCUAAAAAAUGCAACCGUGCAAACAAGCAUUUUACCAAGGGCUGCCAGCGAAUUAGAGAUGUGGAUAGGUGCUACUUUGAAGAAAGAUUUCAGGUAAGCUAAUUUACAGUAG